GCCGCCUCCGCCUGCUCCUGAAGAGGAAGAACCAGUGCCUGAUAUGAAUGAAAUAAAAGCUCUUCCUCCACCUGAAAAUUACACUCCACCUCCGCCUGAGCCUGAGCCCCAGCCUGCGCCCAAACCUCAACCACAAGUCACGGAAGACUUGGUCAAUCUGAGAGAUGAUGCAGUCAGUGCAGAUGAUCAAGGCAAUAAACUGGCAUUGGCUCUAUUUGCU
RNAcentral lists this unclassified non-coding RNA (220 nucleotides) under Hevea brasiliensis (rubber tree). The record is from RNAcentral. Lineage: Eukaryota; Viridiplantae; Streptophyta; Magnoliopsida; Malpighiales; Euphorbiaceae.